AAUAAGAACCAAGUCAUCAACAAAGAUAAAUGUCUAUAUAAACAUGCAAAACAUAGAUUAAUAUUCCUAAAUAUACAUGCACCUCUACCUAAUUAUUGUUCCAUUCGGAAGCCAAUCUCAUCAACUGAGUAAUUCUGUAAAUAAGUUUUACAGAUCAUCUUUCAUGCAUCAUAAAAACACUUGAUUUAACCACAUAUCAUUUGCUAACAAAGUGUGCUUGUUGAAAAAGGGGGUUAAAACCAUGUAACUCUUUCCACAAAUCAAUUCCCAAAUCUAUGAUAACAAGAUUCUGACAGCCUUUGAUUAAGUACAUCUUAUGUUUUAAGAGACAUGUUGCAUCGUUUGUCUUAAGGGGGGAGCAUUUUUAAUUUAUUGCGACAACCGAUCUACUCCAUUCCGAUUAUAAGGAGAUAAAGAUAACAGAACGCACCACAACAAGGAGAUUAAAUAGACUACGGUAAUGUGGUCAAGCCGAUGCCAAAAAGAGUUUGGUUAUCAUAGGGAGAUCUAGCAAGUAAAAUGGUGCAUAAUACACAAAGGGACUUGUAUGGCCAUGAAGAAGAUAGGAACUUCUAUGUAGCAUUCUCAAAAUAUGAAUAACCAUCAUUGGUUAUAGCAACAGCAACCCAUCAUUGGUUAUAGCAACAGUAAAAUGGUGCGUAACACACAAAGUGCAUCAGCAGGAUCUAACCUUGAUGAUUCUCCAUGUCUGUCUGCACUGCAUGACUGCUACAUACCCCAGGAUUUGGCUAUGACCGAGGUUGAGAUCUAUUCUUUUGUGCCUGCUGAUACUUUAUGAUUGUCCAAUCAAACACAUAAUCAAAUUCAUAUCCUGUCAUGAAAGGACAGGAAAAUGAAGACACCAAUUCAGAUACAUCAGAUGAAGCAUUUAAAUGUAAUUUUCAUCCCUCAAGUUCAGAAGACCAUAGAGAGAGUAUAGCACCACCACUACCAUCACCCCAACUUUUUUUCUUCUCUUAUAGUUGUGGUAUAAAGACUAGAUCGAUUUGUGAUUUGAUUUUUAGUUUUUUUUUUUCCUUUGCAAAGAUUGUUUUCCAAUGCACAGGACCACACUAAUAACUAUGAAAAUACCUGAUUAGAUCUCUAAGCUCAUGACUUGUUACUGCUGUUGGUUAAACAUGGAGUAAAAACAAAAUG
Populus euphratica (Euphrates poplar) is the source of this 1158-nucleotide long non-coding RNA. RefSeq lists it as uncharacterized. The transcript is spliced from 2 exons. The record is from RefSeq and is a predicted model, not a curated record. NCBI's taxonomy places the organism in Eukaryota, Viridiplantae, Streptophyta, Magnoliopsida, Malpighiales, Salicaceae.